This 582-nucleotide long non-coding RNA is filed under the name Nicotiana tabacum (common tobacco). RNAcentral's name for it is "long non-coding RNA (NTAB_LNC010193)". Lineage: Eukaryota; Viridiplantae; Streptophyta; Magnoliopsida; Solanales; Solanaceae. The record is from RNAcentral.
AUUCAUUCUAUCAAUUGACACCAAAGUCUGACACUUCCAAAACUAGCCCUAAAAUCUCUAAAACCCUCCCAUUCAUUUAUAAAAAAAUUCAAUUCCAAUCACAUUGAAUACAAGCUCUAUUCAAAAUUCACCAAACGCCCUAGGAAAAAAAAACUGAAAACUACUGAUUACAAUGAUCAUAUAUAGCCCCCCCAAAAAUUGCAAUUUGCAACUACUCAAAAAAAAGGUGAAACUUUUUUUUUUUUUGGGUGUCACCUUUUUUUUUUUGGGUGUGAAUUGAAAAUUCAAGAACUGAAGUGGGUAUUAAGAAAUAACUAAAAUUAGCAAGACCCAGAUAGCUGAAACUGUGAAAACGAUUGAAAAUGAAAGUUUUAUAGUAAGAAAAAAAAAACGUCACUGCUUGUGAAUUUGAUAGAGAGAGAGAUCAGCUGAUAAAAGUGAAGCAAUAGAAUCUAAGGUUUGAUCUGAUUAUUUGUUUUUGUUUUGGGCAAUGGGUGCAGAGAAGCAGCAAAAACACGCACACACAAAAGUGCUACAGAAGAUGACUGAUGAGAGAGAGAGGAGAAGAAAGGUGGACUAAGG